GAUGGCAAACAGACAAAUGUAUAUGUAUAUGAAGUGAAGGGAAAUUGGACAAAGGCGCUUAAAGCGAUUUCAAGUUCUUUAAGCGAGCCCGCACCAUUUUAACAAACAUUUAAGUUGGAAGCUCUGUUGCGUCUGUGUAAGCUUUCUUCCCGAAUUUUGAAAGGAAAAUGCAAAGUGUGUAAAAUUACCUGCACAUAACUUACAGCUUCGUCCUCAUCCGUUCUUAAGCCUUGCACAGUGUUAUGUCAAUGUGAAUUUUUUUUAGUAGAAUUGCAGGAAGAUAAGGUCUUCAAUAGACUAGUCAAAGAAGCGGAGACAAUGGGUCCGAUAGUGAACGAGGACAAGACGGAAUAUCUCCUGUCAUCAAAGAAUCAGUCAGCGUCUUGAUCGUCACAUCACUG
Long non-coding RNA from Ceratitis capitata (Mediterranean fruit fly), 401 nucleotides. RefSeq lists it as uncharacterized. Lineage: Eukaryota; Metazoa; Arthropoda; Insecta; Diptera; Tephritidae. The transcript is spliced from 3 exons. The record is from RefSeq and is a predicted model, not a curated record.